This is a long non-coding RNA of Felis catus (domestic cat), 2676 nucleotides long. RefSeq lists it as uncharacterized. The transcript has 4 exons. NCBI's taxonomy places the organism in Eukaryota, Metazoa, Chordata, Mammalia, Carnivora, Felidae. The record is from RefSeq and is a predicted model, not a curated record.
UCAGGAAAUGCAGUUGGGUACAGACUCACAGAAGGUGUGACUGUUUUCUGUUAUUCUAUCUCUGGCCAUUGCAGUCCUUGGGAAAGCAGCAGAGUCAUCAGCCCAAGAGAAACAAGAGUUAAUUUGGGGACUCUUGUUUGGCUUGGAGCCUUGUUGCUCUAGGUAGAUAGGGAGUGUGUUUGCAGGUCCACUGCAUCGCAAUGCAUCUUAAACGAGCAGCUAUGGAUUUAGGAGUCCACAGGCUGUGCUUUAAAAAUGGCUGUUAUUAAGGUCCUCAGAGACUAUUAUCCUGCAGGGUUCGUUGUCUUUGCUUUCAUAUCUCAUUCAAAAAUUCUCACACUUGUGCCCGAGAACAGUGGAGAGAAGGGAUAUGGUCUCCUGCCUCGGUACAUUGCCAGGUGCAAACCUUUAUUUCAAAAUCGAAUCUUUAAAAAUGCCUGGCCUUGGGUGGAUUCCCCUGGAGGAAACUGAGCAAAAUCCUAUUUGUCAGACCGCCUCAAGCAAUUGCAAACUCUGGUAACACGUGAUGCUUUCUCUCCUUGUCUGCCCCUUUGGUUUACUCUAGUCUUAAAAUUACUGUUUAAAAUCAAAGAGUUCACUUCAGAUAUACCAGGUUGGAAGUAACAUGGGAAUCAUCUUUUCUCUUCUGCAUCGCGUUUUCACUUGUUUGUUUUUAUUCUGUUACAGUGUGAAAAUUCUCUGCAUAUUUAUUCAUCACACAAACAUACAUGUAAGUGCCUAUGGUAUUUCCAAGAUUUCACUAGGAGCUAUGGGACCACAUCUAAUGUAAGACAGAUGUAGUCCCAGCCCUUAAAUUUCCUUCCUUCUGUCCUUCCUUCCUUCCUUCCUUCCUUCCUUCCUUCCUUCCUUCUUUCCUUCCUUUCUUCCUUCUUUCCUUCCUUUCUUCCUUCUUUCCUUCUAUCUUCCCUCCUUCCCAACUUUAUCUCCCUCCCACUAAUAUUUAAUAUAUCAGCAUCUAGGCCUCCAGUGGUGAAAGACAAGCUUCUACUUUCUUGACGUACACAGCCUAAUAAGGUGAACACAGAGAGAAAUAGGAUAAACAGGAAAGAAAUAGGGCAAACAGAUAAACAAAUAUUCAAUAAAAUAAGAAGGUUCUCUGAAGAUAGCAAGUGGAGGGUUAUGGUGAGAACAACGGUCUCCAUGUGGUGGGGAUGGAGUGUUCUUUGGUCACGGUGGUCAUGAAAUACCUAUGUAAGAAGGUUCAAUGUCACCUGAGACCUGAAGGAUGGAAAGACACCAGUUAUAAGAACACCCAAGGACACAGAAUUCCUUCUGAGUAAAAGGGGGACUCGGCCAUACUCCGUACCCUUUGAAUCUCGAUGUUGAUCUUUCUCAGCAUUAUCUCUUAGCUCCUGCCUACAGCUCUGGCUCCCACUGGCAUCCACUUGGAACUCAUUUUCCUCGGAACAGCCUCGUGUCUUCUCUGCUAGCGAGCUUGGAGUCAUGAAGGAAGAUAUUGCUAUAUGGCUUCAUUGCUCGUAAGUGGGUAUUGCCUGCGUGCGACAUCUCUCAGAGGAUCCUUGCCGACGGUAAUCUCGAAAGGCCUUCAUACUUAAACUUGAGAUUGCCCAUGUAAAUCGUAGAGACGGCCACGUAUGAAAAGUCUACGACGCGGAAGUCUUCCAGUACAGGGCAAGUAACUUCUGAGUUGGGCCACAUGCAAUACCACGCAAUCAUUACUUCAUUCAAGUAUCUGGGAGAUGCUCAGUUGGUGCAGGUUUCUGCGAUGCUCUGAGAGGAAUGCCCAGGCAACUGAAUUAUACUCCGGUUAGGGUGGAUGGUGAUUGGGAGAAAAUAUACUCUCUUUUUCAACGUAUGAAGAAAAGGAAGAGGAAGGUGUGGACAUGAAUAAAAAGAUAGGUAACACUGCCAUAUCCGCCAAAGAAAAUCUCACAAAUGAGAAAACUGACAAAAGAUCGAGGAUAUUUCUUCCUUCCUAGAACCCACUGCGCUGACGUCAGAACAUGGGUUUUUCAUCGUGUAGCCACUAAUCUUUCCCAAAGCAUUAGGUUCAGUUCAGAACAUCCUAGAGACCCUUGACCACACUGUUGACACAGACCCAGGGCAUUCUUGGCCUUUGGUCCUGUGAUGAUGCUCCUUUCAUGUGAGAACACAUACAUUUGAAAAACCAUCUCCAGGAGAGUAAGGUUUGCGAAGGCCUAGGUUUUAUUCAUGCCCAUAAGAUAAAUUAUGUAAGUUUUAACAAAGGACUAGGGCAGAGAAAAGGAGGCCUUUAUAGAUUAUUUUACAUCAUAAACAUUUUUAUAUGGGAGCUACACUGGAAUAUGUUCCAAAACAGUGCAAACUUGCUUCACAGUGCCCCGAGUAAGAAAGAAAAGAUUAUAGUCGGAUUUCAUCAUUGUCACUAAUCUUGACUAUAAAUAAAGAUGUCAGGUCACUCCAAGAAAGAGAAAUAGAAGUAGGAAACAGAUUAUGUUCAUAGCGCUUUACCACGGGCAAAGGUUUCUGGUCUACUCUUCUCAGAUAGGGACAGAGGGACGGUAAAGUUGCCGUGAAUCUCUGCGGAAAUUUCUGACAUAGUUGAGAGUUCAAUACAGAAAAACCUUAUCAGCGGGGCACUGAGAAACCAAUGUGGGUAAUACCUAAUUAUUAAUGUUAUCUUGAGUUGAAAAUAAAGGGACUUGCUGAAAAACC